CGAAUCAUCUUCGUCCUUCCUGUUACGAAUUUUAUUUCGGCCUUUGAGUUUAACUGAUUUAUCUGUUAAGAUCUGAUCUGCAAGUGUUUGGGUUUUGUCGGUUUCGCCCUCAGAUUUAGAUACUUUAACUUUCUUUGCUUUUCCCAUGUUUACAGGUUUCACGUGUUGACAAUUGAUAUGGAAGAGAUCGUUUGGUCCAAAGAAGUUCCGAAAAU
RNAcentral lists this long non-coding RNA (215 nucleotides) under Mytilus galloprovincialis (Mediterranean mussel). Lineage: Eukaryota; Metazoa; Mollusca; Bivalvia; Mytilida; Mytilidae. The record is from RNAcentral.